RNAcentral lists this ribosomal RNA (118 nucleotides) under Salmo salar (Atlantic salmon). Lineage: Eukaryota; Metazoa; Chordata; Actinopteri; Salmoniformes; Salmonidae. The record is from RNAcentral.
GCUACGGCCAUACCAGCCUGGGUACGCCCGAUCUCGUCUGAUCUCGGAAGCUAAGCAGGGUCGGGCCUGGUUAGUACUUGGAUGGGAGACCGCCUGGGAAUACCAGGUUCUGUAAGCA